RNAcentral lists this long non-coding RNA (8265 nucleotides) under Lathyrus oleraceus (garden pea). RNAcentral's name for it is "Pisum sativum (pea) long non-coding RNA (PSAT_LNC010339)". Lineage: Eukaryota; Viridiplantae; Streptophyta; Magnoliopsida; Fabales; Fabaceae. The record is from RNAcentral.
UGUCAAAAUAAAAAUGUAAUACCAGAAGAAAAGAUAUAGUAAAGCAAAAACUUUCACAUGCCACACUGCACGAUCAUGCAGUGUUUAUUAUUCCAUUGAUUAUUUAUUUGUUCAUUUCCAUACACACAAUUAAAAACAGAGUCUAAGGGACUUUGUUUAGUCACAUGCAUGAUACAUAGUUAUACUUGCUCAGUUCUUAAUGACCUCCUCCACCUCAGAGUUGUGACAUGCUUUAUAGCAGAAUUUAUGAGUAUCAAAGCACUGACACUGGGGAGGAUAAGAUAGUGCACAAAUGCAACUGUCGCAUGCUGAGUGACAAGUUUCUCCAACAUCAACACAGCGACACGUAGGAGGGUCUGAUUUUGUGCAAAGGCAGGUAUCACAACAUGCUGAUUUGACAUCAUCACCAUUGGAGAGCACUUGAGUUAUGAAGGAAGUUGAAUCAAAACGAGCGUUAACAACAUUUGCGGCGAAGCUCAAGAGGAAAACCAUUAGAGCUAACUUCAUCAUUACCUUCUUAUUCAUCAACUCCAUUCUAACUCUUUUUCUCUUUCUUACUUUCUCUCUCUCUCUUUCUUUAUUUGCCUUGUGAAAAAGCAUGAAGCUACAUAGAUCUAUUUAUAUUGGUAUUUUUAUUCAAUUUUAUUAAUUUAAGUAUGUUUAUAGGCGUAAUUAUCCUCUAUUAUAUUAUUAACUUUUGGUUCAUCUUUCGUACGUGUAGACAUUUUUCUGACGAAAUGCAUAUCUGUAGACAUAAGGCCAUGCCAUGUAUAAGAACAUGUAUUAUUCAUUAUUAUAAUUUACACGUGUACCUAUUGCACUAAAAACUAAAUAAUUAACAAUUAGAGAUUACAUUAAUAUAAUUAAAUAAUUAACAAUUGAGAGGCAACAAUAGCAUGAAGCUACAUAGAUAUAUUUAUGUAGGUAUUUUAAAUCCAUUUUAUUAAUAUAAGUGUUGUCCUUAAAAAAUAUUAAAUUUUUUUUCUGUCUCACUUGUCACUUGUCAAUUUUUUUCUGGUGCAUGUGACUAAUAAGCAUAACAUUUAUUUUUUUCUUUCAACGAUUCCAUUUAAUCGAGGAGAAUAAUAAGAGAGGGUUACUUCACAAAAUUAUUCCUUCUUUUUUUUUUCAAAAAUCAUUAAAAGAAAUAUAUUCUCCUCCUAUAUCAUAUCUAACUCUUUUUAUUUUUUUAUUUAAUUGAUUUUCAACCUCGACUUUGUAUAAGAUAAAUUUAUGAACGCUUCAUCUUUAUGUUUUAACAAAUAAGCUUUAGUGAAUCUUGAACAAUCAUCUAUAAAUGUUUUAUAAUAAUUAUUUCGUCCUCUAGAUGUAGUUUGCUUUAAGUCUCCUUAAUCAAUACGAAUUAGACCAAUAAGAUCAGAUUCACAUUGCACAUACAUAUAUUUUUUGUGUGUUAAUUUUGAUUCUAAACAAAUAUCACAUUGACCAGAUUGCUUAUUAUUUAAAGUAAUCAUAUCAAGAAAUUGUAUUGUAUUAAUAUAAGAAGAAUUAACAUGUCAUAUAUCAUAAGAAUCAAUCAAGUAAGCAUAAGAAGAAAUUUUAUUAUUCAUAACUUCAUAAAUGUUCAACACAAAGAGUCUCGGGUCACAAUAACUUUUUCCACACAAAUACAUUAUUCUUUGUCAUUAUAAUCUUGUUAGAUUCAAAUGACCCUUUAACCGCACCAUUGCUCAAAAGAGCCACAUAAAUUAAAUUAGUCCUAAUAUUAGACGUAUGUAAUACUUCACUUAAAGCCAAUGUCUUUCCUGAUGUGAACUUUAAUAUAACUUUUCCUUUUUCUGAAAUUGCAACAGUUUGAGAAUCGCCCAGAUAAAAUCGUUCUUCUCCAUCCUCCACAAUAGGUAAAGGCAUCUUUAUUAGCACAAAUGUGCCUAGUAGCCCUAAAGUCUAUUACCCAUUUGUUCGCAUCAGUCACAAUAUUUGCUUGAGCAAUGACAACAACAAUAAUAUCACCUCCUUCAGCCAAAUUAGCUUUAGAAGGAUUGUCAUUCCUCUUGCAAUGUUUGCAUUGAGGUGCAUGAUGACCUGACUUAUUACAAACGUAAUAUUCUUCUCUUUUUUAAAGUGAGAUUAGUAACACAAGGGAUAAAAUUAUUAUUAUUAUUAUGACCAGAUUUAUGAUCGGGUUUGUGAUCGUACCUCUUUUUGUAAAACUUAUUACUAGUGUUAUUAUGGACCAAAUUUGCUCGAGAAACAAAACUUUUUUCCUUGGUAGCCUUGCUCUCCUUUAUAUUUGUACCCUCGAUAAUGAUGUGUGUGAUCAAAUCUGCUAAAGGUAAUUUCUUUUGCUUAUGUUUGAGUUGAUUCUUGCAAUCCGUCCAUGAUUCCAACAUCCUCUCAAUGAGAAUUCCAACAAUGAAUUAACCUGGCAAAGUUAUUUUCAACUUUCAGUUCUUCUAACAAUUUAUGAUACUCGUUGAUCUGCGCCUUUAUAUCUUUAUCUUCCGACAUUUUCCAAUGAUAGUAAUUUCCGAUCAAAUUUUUUUCUCUUCCAGCGAUAUAAUUUAGAUUCACCGAAUCCCAUAUCCAUUUUGCUUCCUUGUAUGGGCAGUAGAAAUCAAACAAAUUGUUAGAAAGAGUACUUAAUAUUGUGUGUCGACAUACCUUGUUUGCAUGUGCCCAUUGAUCGAUAAAUUUUUGAGUUGCAGACGAUGCUGGUUUCAAUUCUUAGAGAGCAUAUGCAACACCAUGCAUGUCAAGGAUGAAGUGAACAUGCUCAUACCAUCUGCGAAAGUUUUGGCCAUUGAAAACUUCAAUUUUUGACACAUUGGGGAAUGAUUUAGUGUAAUUGAUAUUCGGCACAACGAGAGGUGGUUGUUGUUGAAUAGUUUCAACAUUGUUGAUUUGAGGUUGACGGUUGGAGUCAUCACUGGAAUUGUCUUUGAUAGACAAAAUCCUCGAGAUUGUUGAAUAAUUUGCUAUGAAGACCUGUAAAAUAAGAUUGGGUUAAAUAAUCUGAGACGCGCUGACCGCGUUGUCCUCAAGGAUUUUCCACGUAAUACGCUAACCCUUUAGGAUUUAUCCGAUUCUUCUCAGUAAAUCGAGGAUACAAAACUCGCAAGAAAAAUUAUUUGAGCUAUUAGAAAUUAAUCCAGAAUUAAGAAAAAUCAAAUUAAAAAACGAUUUUUUAAAUAGUGUUUUUUCUUGUAUUAUGUGCAAAGCCUCACUUGUCUACUUCUUUUUUUGUCCUUUCUAUGUAUUAUAUAUUCUAGUAGAGAAGAAUAGAAUAAUAAUCAAUAAAAAUCAAUAAAUGAUUUCAUUACUUUUAGAAUAUCACAUUUUAUCGCCAUUAUUCUGAAUAAAGAUUUUAACGUCAAUGUAAUAACAGAAUGCAAGUAAUAAUAUUUUGUUACUUAAUUUGAAAUUGAAAAAUAUUAUAGAUAUUGAAUGACGUUUUAAUUUUAUUUACAUUUUUUAUUUUUAAUAUUAUACACACAUGUUAAUUUAUCGUUUUUAUUAAAUACAUCACUAUCAAACUUGUACUCAUUUUAAAAUAAAUGUUUGUUUAUUUAUUAUCUCAACAAUAAUAUCUUUGAAUUUUUUUUAAUGUUUUUAAAAACUUCAAAUGACAUGAUAAAUUAUUUUUUAUUAGAAAUGUGAGUAAACAGGUAUGGAUAUGAGUACUUAGGUACGCAUAGGGUACGAGGACAAAUAUAAAUAUUGGUGCCCAUGCGAAUAUAGACUCGGGUAAGGAGAAUUUUUUAAACUGCAGGUACGGGAACAUGUACUAUGCUCAAACCAUGCUCAUCCCACAAAUCCUAGACCAACCAAAAGAAGACAUGGAACCGCGGAAGCUAUGAGUGAAGGUGCUUAGUGGAAAUCGAAACCCUGGGAAUGGGAUAGCGAUUGAGUUCGCAACUCCUAAGAUUGCCAAUGGUGAGAUUGAAAUCGAGAUAGAAGAAGCUGACAUAGAGACUAAGGUAAAGUUUUGGGACUCUGCACUAAUAAUGUAUGUCAUAGGUGGUGAAGUGGGAAUGAAUGUUGUUAAGCAGUUUAUGAUGACGAAGUGGAACUUUGUAAAGCUUCCUGACAUGUACUAUAAGGAUGAACGUUACUUAAUUUUGAGGUUUCACUCCCAUCUUGAUAGGGUUGCAGUGAUGUUGAGGGGCCCGUAUACUAUCAUCAAUAUGCCUAUGUUGUUGAGGGAAUGGAAAACAAAUUUCAACCUCAAGAAUGAUAUGUUGUGAAACCUCCCAAUCUAGGUGAAAUUUCCUCAAAUCCCUCUCCAUUUUAGUGGAGGUAGACUUCACCCAAAAACUAACAAAUGAAAUCACCAUCAAAUAUGCAUAAGGGCGCAAAAUGAAACAACUGGUUGAAUACAAAUAGAAACCCCCUAGUGUGAGAAAUGUCAGAAAGUUGGACACAAUUGUGGAGCUCAAAAGCAGAAACCAACAACAAGAUAAUGGGUCCCAAAAAAUUCUCAACAAACAGUGGUGAAGGAGACUCCUAAGGAAACUAUAGAAAUAGCUACCACUAGUACAACUCAGAUCAUUGGGACUCCUACAAGCAUUGAGAUGGAACAGGUGGAGUGGACCAAGGUUGGCAAAAGUCGAAGAGACAUGGGAAAGAAAGCUAUGUCACCUCAACAAACAGAUUUGAAGCACUAGGAUUGAGAAAAGACUUAGGGUCUGUUUGAAUUACUUCUCAAAAACUGUUUUUUAAUUUUUAAAAAAUAAAAACUAAAAAACUUGUUUGAUAAACUAUUUUUAAAAUAGUAGUUUUAAAAAUUAGAUUUGUUUUUUAGUUUUAAAAACUGAAAGAGUAAAAUUGAUAAAUAUAGUUUCAGUUUUUAAUAUGUAGUUUCAGUUUUCAUUUUCAAUUUUUUUUAAAAAAAAUCCCAAAAAUAAAAAUUUAUGGAAAAAUAUAAAUUUUUAUUAAUGGUAUUUUGAUGAUUUAUUUAUUUAUUUAUAUAUAAUUUCAAAAGGAUAUCAAUAUUGUACGAAGAAUUUUGAGAAGAAAAAAAAUCCAUAAUAAUAAUAAUUAUGAUUUGUAUAAAUGUUUAGCAUAAAGCCAUUACUAAAUCCUAAAUACUAAUGGCGGAUCAUUUUAAUUUUAUUCAUGCAUUCAAGUUCUGUUUUUUUUCUUUAAAUAACUUAAUUCUUUCGAUUUUUUAUAUUUUCAUUAAUGUAAUUAUAUAUAUAUAUAUAAAAAUAUUUUACAUAUACAUCCAACUAAAUUACAUCAAAUAAAUAUACUAAAAAUUAAUCUAAUAAUGUAUCACUAGCAUGUAUUUUGAUUCGAUUAAAAAGUUUUACAUAGUAAGUACAUACAAAUUUACUUAAGAUUAUUUAAAAAAAAGUAUGGCUCAAAAACCUAACUAUAGGAAGGCAUGAAGACAAUAGGCGCCUAGGGGUGGCAAAACAGGCCCGGUCCGCCGGGCAUGCCCGUUUUUCCCGCACCUUAGUGCAGGGCGGGCCAAGGAUUUAGGCCCCCAACAUCUAAUGUGUCCGCCCCGCCCCACCCCGUUCUUUUCCGCAGGCUUUUGUGGGCACGUGCGUUUACAUAAUUUUUUGCAUUUUUAGGCUUAAAGAGUGCAGUGUCCGCGGGCUUUCCCCUUCCCGCCCUCACUUUUUUGUAGGACGGGCCUAAGUUUUAGGCCCACAUCCUCAAUUAUGACCGUCCCGCCCCACCCCGUUUUUUUGCGGGCUUUUGCGGGGCAGACCUAUAUGGGGCGGGCAUGUCCGUUUGCCACCCCUAUAGGCGCCACGUGGACGACAGUAAAGAAGGGCAUCGAGGACCCGAUCCAGAUUUUCAAAUUAUACUCAGUUGAACAUGUUUAGAGGAAAAAUUCUACAAGAGUGUGCUAAGGCCUAGGUAAAGAACGCCAGAGAUAAGAUAUCCCAAUAACGUAAAGUAGUUAGCACAAAUCGAUAGAUCAAAAUUUAAUUAUUAAUUAUAAUAAAAAUAUUUUAAAUAUAUAUUUGUUAAUAAAAGUGUUCUUAAAAAUUAGACUACCAAAUAGAUUUUUUAUUUUCUCAUCUCUAGAACUGUUUUUGAAAAUUAACUUAUCAAAUGAAUUUUUUAUUUUCUCAUUUCUACAAUAGUUUUGAAAAGUUAAAUUAUCAAACAAAUUUUUUAUUUAUUCUCUUCUUAAAAAGAAUUUUCUAAAACAAUUUUAUAAAAUAAUUUUUAAAAAGUAAAAAGCAAAACUCAUUCAAACGAGCUCUUAUUGUUUCAUGAAGAUGUCUCGUGAUUAUUGCUUGGAAUGUGAGGGGGCUCAAUAAAUCAGGUAAUAUUAGGGAGACUAGAGUGAAAAGUAAUAAGGCUGAGGCUAUUAGAGGCAAAUUGAACAUGAGAGGUAAUUACUUGGAUUACUAUAACAAGGAUGACAACGGUAGGAUUUGGGUGUUUUGGAAAGACAACAACGUUAUCAUCAAGAUGAUCAAGAGCACUGACCAAAUGAUACACUGUGGGAUCUUUGAGUUAAAUUAGGACUUAAGCUAUUAGAUGAUUGCUAUAUAUGCCUUGAAUCAAUUAGAUCAGAUAAAGAAUCUUUGGAAAGACAUUGAAGAUAUUAACUGCAAACAAAAGGGUUCAUGGUUCUUAUUGGGAGACUUCAACAAUGAUUUGAUAUCUCAAGACAUGAUUGGGGGGAAUAUGGCAACUGAAAAAGGAGUACAUUGACCUGAUAAGAAUGAUGGAACAAAUUGGAUUAUAUGAAAUGGGCAGCAGUGGGGACUAUUUGGUCUAACAAACAAAGUGAGAAUUUUAUCUAUUUCAGAAUUGACAGAGUGCUAGGUAAUUUGGAAUGGCUUCAGGAUCAUAGUGACUAUGAUGUCACUGUUAUCCACCCUAGUGUGUCUGAUCAUGCCAUGCUUUGCUUGAAAAGGUAUGAUAUUCUUUGGAAAAUAAUAGGAAAAUAAAUAGUUUCAAGUUUAUUAUCAAUGUUGCUGAUUUUGAGGGCUUUUUUAGUGUUGUUGAGAGAAGUAGGAAUGCCCCCUAUUAAUGGUAUGCCAAUGUAUAUUCUUUGGAAAAAACUGCAAAGAUUACAACCUGUUCUUAAUGCUAUGAGUAAGCUUAUUACUGAUGUGAAGCUGAAUAUUAUGAAAGCUAGGGAAAACUUGCAAACAACCUAGUUGAAUCUUUGCAAUGACAAAAUGAAUAUGACCAAGAUUGAUCUGGUAAAGAAACAUACUGAGGAGCUUAUUAACUUGAAGGAGAUGGAGGAAAAUGUGCUUAAACAAAGGCUAAAUUGGAUUGGCUAAAACUAGGGGAUGGAAAUAAUAAGUAUUUCCAUGCCUCCAUUAAAGCUAGACACAAGAAGAAAAGUAUGAAUACUCUACAAAAGAAUGAUGUUACUCUUCUAACUACUCAAAAUGAUAUUCAAAGGGAGGUGUUGGAUUUCUAUACUAAUCUGAUGGAUACAACUGACAUUUUAUUGGAUGGCAUUGACAUUAAUGCCAUGAGAAAUGCCCCCCAAUUGAAUAAUGAUCAUAGGGAAAUGCUUAUUGCUCUAGUUUCUGAUUAGGAGAUUGUCAAGGCUCUUAAAGGUAUUGGUGAUCUGAAGUCUCCAGGGUUGGAUGGGUAUGGGGAUUACUUAUUUAAGAAAGAUUGGCAAGUAGUGAAGACUGAUAUGAUAAAUGGUGUCCAAGACUAUUUUAUUAAUGGUAGAAUCUACAAAGCUUUUAACUGCACCUUGGUGAACAUCAUCCCUAAGAGUAUGGAGGCAAAAAUUAUUAGGGAUUAUAGACCUAUUUCCUGUUGUAUCACCAUCUAUAAGAUUAUCUCCAAAGUUCUAACUUCUAGAAUGAGUAAUAUUUUGGAGAGUAUUGUUGAUAAGAACCAGGCUGCAUUUGUCCCAUGCUAAGAUAUUCACAACCAUAUCCUUUUGUCUUAUGAGCUUAUUAAGGGCUACACUAGGAAGGGAGGUACUCCUAGAUGUAUGAUGCAGGUGGCCAUUCAAAAAACCUAUGAUUAGUUGAUUGGAAUGUUAUGGAGUGUAUUCUUAAUGAUAUUAGGUUCCUUAGACUGUUCACUAAUUAGAUUAUGCUUGUUGUUUCUUCUGUCUCUUACAAGUUCAAUGUCAAUGGAGAUUACUUAGGCAUUAUGCUGGCUAAAAGAGGGUUGAGGUAGGGUGAUCCCAUCUCACCUUUGCUCUUUAUCAUUGUCAUCGAUUACUUGAACAUAAUUUUACAUAAAAUGCAGAGGAACAACAACUUCAAUUUCCAUGCCAAAUGUGAAAAACUAGGCCUUGCCAACCUUUGCUUUGUUGAUGACCUACUGUUGUUUUCUAGAGGGGGCAUU